CACCGGUUUCACGCCACCAGACGCACCAGUCCAACGAGUCAGCUUUAUACUGGGUGAAAAACAUUACGUACCACUCGGCUAUUGCGAGAGUGGAAGCUUCCUGGGUUUGAGUAUUCAAUCUGGAUUUUUAUUUCUGUUCUUGGAGAUGAGAGUCUUGUGGACUUUUGGGAUCUUUUCGCAGUUUUGGGAAUUUUUCUUCGACGGGGAAUUUAAUGGACUUUUGCACGGCUACAGUGGAAAAUCUUUUGUGCAUGGAGAAUGGCGUCGAAUCGAUCUUCAUCCAGAACUUGACUCAAAGCGCUCUUGUAUCU
Molecule: long non-coding RNA, 311 nt
Organism: Fopius arisanus
Lineage: Eukaryota; Metazoa; Arthropoda; Insecta; Hymenoptera; Braconidae
Exons: 3
Source: RefSeq, a predicted model, not a curated record